Molecule: transfer RNA, 73 nt
Filed under: Sus scrofa (pig)
Lineage: Eukaryota; Metazoa; Chordata; Mammalia; Artiodactyla; Suidae
Rfam family: tRNA
About the family: Transfer RNA (tRNA) molecules are approximately 80 nucleotides in length. Their secondary structure includes four short double-helical elements and three loops (D, anti-codon, and T loops).
Source: Rfam by way of RNAcentral
UCCCUGGUGGCCUAGUGGUUAAGGACCCAGCAUUGUCAGUGCGGUGGCUCAGGUUUGACCCCUGGCCUGGGAA